CCUGCACACUUAAAACAAAACUUCGAUCGAGACAAUUAAUCCUAAGCAAUUAAUCAAGUUGUCCGGCAUGUCAUUGGUCCCUCGACGCUUCGUCCGAUUCUUCGGCGCAUCAUCCUUUCCUACAACCUAUUGCCCAAUUGGCCAGUUGACUCCGCAACUCCGAUAUCCUUGGCACAAUACCCGCUCUUCUUGGCCCGAUGCCCG
Molecule: long non-coding RNA, 204 nt
Filed under: Musa acuminata (dwarf banana)
Lineage: Eukaryota; Viridiplantae; Streptophyta; Magnoliopsida; Zingiberales; Musaceae
Description: long non-coding RNA (MACU_LNC011729)
Source: RNAcentral